UUCUCAACUUCAUAUUUUGGCUUCCACAGGGUAUCUCUGUAUGAACUGGCAACUUUCUCAUCUUUAGUAAUCAAAAUGUUGUCAAACAAUAUACCAUCUUGCAUGGUCCAGAUCUCAAUUCCGAUGGCGGCAAUGGGCUCAAAGUUGGGUUUCUCGAGCUCAAAGUAACUAGGGUUUGGAAUCUCCUGAGGCUUCCAGAUACCCUUGUAACUGGGGUUAUCGAUGAGUGGUGCGUGCCAUUUUCCCUUGUAAGCUGGAUUCCUCUUCAUUGGCCUCUUCCAUUCACCACAACCAGGGGCAGUCACACACUUGGGAUUGUCAAUCUUUGGGGCCUCCCACUCACCAUCCUCCUCGUCAUCCCAAUCCUCUGGCUUUGUGGCUUCAGGAUCCUCUACCUCCUCAGGUUCAUCAUCCAACCAUCCUUCAGGUUUCUCUGCUUCCUCAUCUUCAAUUUCCAUGGGUGCAUCCUCAUCCCAAUCAUCAGGUUUAACUGCAUUAGGAUCCGGAAUUUUGGCUCUCUCAUCCCAAUCCUCAGGCUUCUUAUCUUCUGGAUCAGGAAUUGUCUUGGUAGGGAUAAGUGGAGGCAUAAAAUCAUCAGCUGAUAAGAAGUUGGCCUUCUUCUUCUCCUCCCCGUCGACCAGAAUUAUCAACUCGUUAUCAGGUUUGAUGAUGGCAGUGUACACAUGAGAAAGUUUGUCAGCUGGAACAGAGGGUGGGGUGGUAAGAUG
RNAcentral lists this long non-coding RNA (728 nucleotides) under Fragaria vesca (wild strawberry). RNAcentral's name for it is "long non-coding RNA (FVES_LNC005374)". Lineage: Eukaryota; Viridiplantae; Streptophyta; Magnoliopsida; Rosales; Rosaceae. The record is from RNAcentral.